Long non-coding RNA from Anguilla rostrata (American eel), 1726 nucleotides. RefSeq lists it as uncharacterized. Lineage: Eukaryota; Metazoa; Chordata; Actinopteri; Anguilliformes; Anguillidae. The record is from RefSeq and is a predicted model, not a curated record. The transcript is spliced from 2 exons.
UUAAAGAUGUAUUCAUUUGGAGUGUUUGUCUUUGUCCAUGUCGCGUGAGGUUUAUGUUAAAUGUUAUUGAUUUUAAAAGAGCAGCUGAGAGCCGUAGUGCCGGGGUGGGGAAAGCCGGGGUGGGGAAAGCAGCUGAGAGAGCUAGCCAGAUCCUCAAGUGCCACUGCAUAUGUGCCGUGAUAGCACGUGUAAUUUUGCUGGGGAAAGUGAUUUAGCUUGCGGUGCAAUCAGAGACUGUAAAAAAUGGGUGCAAUAUUGUGUGUUGUGCCCGGAAGUGAUAUAAUUCCGGUGUGAGUUGCAGUGCAGUGUUAAGUUGCAGUUCCCUAAGGGGGUGUAAUUUCUGUGUGGGGUGGUCUAGAUUGGCGAGUGCCCAUACACCUGUUUUUGGCCCAUGUGGGUGGCCCCGGAGGGGAGUAUAGGACUCAGUCUGUUUAAUACGUAUAACUGAAAGUUUUCUUUUCUGCACUUUUGACUUGUCAAUACAAGACAACACGCUUCUACAAUUAUGAUAGGUCAGGGGGGCGGGAUUACUGUAUCAAAGACGCGUGAACAAUGAAAAUAUAUCUCCUUUCCUUAUCUUCAGAGCAGUGUGAAGGCCGUAGUGCAAUUGUGUGCGUUUGUUUUCAAUUUGUAGCGCCGAGCUACAUCUGUAAGUGGUUGUAAUAGUGCUAGUAAAAGUGCUGGUUUUAAUAGAAUAACGUUAUAUACGUCACUGUCAAAGUGCGUGUGUUGUUAUCAGAGUGAUUAGAGUGGAAUUUGCAUCAGUGAGCACCUGUUAACGAAGCUAGCUAGCUUGCUAUUGCUACAGAAUCGCUUCAGCUUGCAUUUAGCUUUCUGGCAAUUUAGCUUGCGCUAACAUAACGCUAGCGCACAUUCAGCACUGAGGACUGGAACCUGGACACUGACCGUUUAUCCAGAUAGCGCUCUAUGCUACCAGGAAUAGCGCAGCAGCACCUCUGGCACCGGGAAACCCGACAGCGCUCCGUGUGACCGGAAAAGCAGGGAAGCACCUCUAGCAACAAGGGAGAAAAUCUGCAUUGUUCACAGGGAGUUCAAUGGAGUCCUGCUUGGGGACAGAGGCUAUGCCUGCAUGCCGUACCUGCUCACACCCUACCCAGAUCCAGGAAUAGAGGCGGAGAGGGCCUUCAACCAUGCCCACACAAAAACGAGGGCACGGAUAGAGAUGACCUUUGACCAACUGAAAUCCAGGUUCAGAGCUUAAAGUUCUCAGGCACAAUGCCAGAUUUCAGGCAUAGAGCAGUUUUAAAUUCAUAUAAUACUUAAUUCAAUACAUUGUACACAUUUCCUCCUGGACAACUUUUCAGGCUCACAAAUCUUUUCUUGUUUUAAUCCCUGCAGGUUCCAGUGCCUGAAAGGCCUCAGGGUUACUCCUGACCGGGCAGUCUUGCACAACAUUGCUACUAUACGCCGGGAGAGACUGCCCACAAUGUUGGUGGAGGAGCAAUGGGAGGACCUCGACCCGGCCCUUCAGGAACCGAUGGAUGGAACGACAGUGAGGGACCUUUACAAGGACACAUAUUUCAGUUAAUCCCCAUUGUGGUGACCUUUGUUUGAGUUAUCCCCUUUUUUCAGAAUUUAGCAUGUUCUGUACAAUUUUAAUAAACACAUGUGUGCCUAAGUUGUGUUGAAUUUCUGUAUUAAUUCACUCAUUUGAUUCAAGCUGUGGAGACAAAACACAGAAAAUUAAAUACAGUCCAAACUAUGA